This 253-nucleotide ribosomal RNA is filed under the name uncultured bacterium. RNAcentral describes it as "partial 16S ribosomal RNA". It matches the Rfam family "Bacterial small subunit ribosomal RNA", at positions 524 to 776 of the family's 1533-position model. The record is from RNAcentral.
UACAGAGGUCUCAAGCGUUGUUCGGAUUCAUUGGGCGUAAAGCGCGUGUAGGCGGCUCGGUAAGUGGGUCGUGAAAGCGCCCGGCUAAACUGGGCGAGGACGAUCGAGACUGCCAGGCUUGAGGGUGGUAGAGGGACAGGGAAUUCCGGGUGUAGCGGUGAAAUGUGUAGAGAUCCGGAGGAACACCAGUGGCGAAGGCGCUGUCCUGGGCCACCUCUGACGCUGAUACGCGAAGGCGUGGGGAGCGAACGGG